This 635-nucleotide ribosomal RNA is filed under the name Tylenchorhynchus brassicae. Its description in RNAcentral is "eukaryotic LSU rRNA". It matches the Rfam family "Eukaryotic large subunit ribosomal RNA", at positions 355 to 825 of the family's 3401-position model. Lineage: Eukaryota; Metazoa; Nematoda; Chromadorea; Rhabditida; Telotylenchidae. The record is from RNAcentral.
GAGGGAAAGUUGCAAAGCACUUUGAAGAGAGAGUUAAAGAGGACGUGAAACCGGUGAGAUGGAAACGGAUAGAGCUAGCGUAUCUGGCUUGCAUUCAACUAUUGGACUGCUGUCUUCAUGGUCGCUGCCUCCAGAUUGGGGUAGUUGCUUUGAGUGGCGGUAGUCUGGUGGUGCAUUUGCAAGUGGUGUGCGCCGAGACGCUCGGGGCAGCGGCAUGAGCUCGGUUUUGAGGCCAGCCUGCAAAGGUCUGGUACCCGAUCCGGGGGAGUGUUGUUUGUUCUGGGUGUGCCUGUCUUGGCAUGGCUUACGGGCUCGGGUUGGUGUCGAGCUGGUAGCCGGUAACGGUCGCAUGCGACACGUGCUGGUGGUCAGUUCGGUCCUAUUCGAGCUCUCAUGCUUACUCUCGGUGUAAAAGCUGGUCAUCUAUCCGACCCGUCUUGAAACACGGACCAAGGAGUUUAUCGUGUACGCGAGUCAUUGGGCGUUUAAAACCCAAAGGCGAAAUGAAAGUGAAGGUAUCCAUUAGGAGCUGACGUGCGAUCCUGUGCACCACGGUGUAUGGGCGCAGCAUGGCCCCAUCCUGACUGCUUGCAGUGGGGUGGAGGUAGAGCGUACGCGGUGAGACCCGAAAGAUG